This 387-nucleotide ribosomal RNA is filed under the name Thaumatomonas sp. RNAcentral describes it as "partial small subunit ribosomal RNA". It matches the Rfam family "Eukaryotic small subunit ribosomal RNA", at positions 587 to 975 of the family's 1831-position model. Lineage: Eukaryota; Cercozoa; Imbricatea; Thaumatomonadida; Thaumatomastigidae. The record is from RNAcentral.
AGCUCCAGUAGCGUAUAUUAAAGUUGUUGCAGUUAAAAAGCUCGUAGUUGGAUUUCUGGUUUGAUAGCUCUGGCCCGCCUUAUAUGGUGUGUGUCGGUUGAUAUCUGCCAUCCUUUUACAAAACCUCUCUACCCUUCACUGGGCCGGAUUGGCGAUGUAAAACAUUUACUUUGAAAAAAUUAGAGUGUUCAAAGCAGGCUUGCGCUAUGAAUACAUUAGCAUGGAAUAAUAAUUUAGGGCUUUGGUUCUAUUUUGUUGGUUUCUAGGAUCGAAGCAAUGAUUGAUAGGGAUAGUUGGGGGUGCUAGUAUUAAACGGCCAGAGGUGAAAUUCCGUGAUUCGUUUAAGACUUACCUAUGCGAAAGCAUUCACCAAGGAUGUCUUCUUUA